UACGUAGGGUGCAAGCGUUAAUCGGAAUUACUGGGCGUAAAGCGUGCGCAGGCGGUGAUGUAAGACAGAUGUGAAAUCCCCGGGCUCAACCUGGGAACUGCAUUUGUGACUGCAUCGCUGGAGUGCGGCAGAGGGGGAUGGAAUUCCGCGUGUAGCAGUGAAAUGCGUAGAGAUGCGGAGGAAUACCGAUGGCGAAGGCAGCCCCCUGGGAUAACACUGACGCUCAUGCACGAAAGCGUGGGGAGCAAACAGG
This 253-nucleotide ribosomal RNA is filed under the name uncultured bacterium. RNAcentral's name for it is "partial 16S ribosomal RNA". It matches the Rfam family "Bacterial small subunit ribosomal RNA", at positions 524 to 776 of the family's 1533-position model. The record is from RNAcentral.